RNAcentral lists this unclassified non-coding RNA (922 nucleotides) under Hevea brasiliensis (rubber tree). Lineage: Eukaryota; Viridiplantae; Streptophyta; Magnoliopsida; Malpighiales; Euphorbiaceae. The record is from RNAcentral.
GAAAUAGAGAGGCCAUGUAAAAAGACUCAAACUGCAAGUUUAAUCUCAGACUGAGUGAUUAAUCCCAUAAAUGAUCAACUAUUCCUCCUUGUUAACCGUUCAUCACAGGGUGGAAGCAUCCUCCACCUCCAUGAAUUGAAAGGAAAUACUAGCAAACAUAUAUGUCACACAAAAGAGCAAAAUAAAUCUACAUAGAACCUAGUCGAAAUUACUUUACAAUCAAAUAAGCAUUCUAAGCUUUAAGGACAUAUUUGAUGUCAAUUGUAUAGCUGAAAUUCUUCCAGGUUUUCUUGUUCAUCAGCAACCUUGUUAUGUCUUCUAGAAGAAUAGGAAAGUUAAAGGCUUUCUCCUACAAUCUCAAUAUGAUGGAAGGACAAAGGCAACCUACAUGGGAUGAGAGGACAAACACGUUGAGGGCAUGCCACGUUCAAUACAUGUGUGUCUGUCAGUUUCAUAAUAUAGCUAUCCUUAAUCCAAUUGCAGUUUCAUUUUCUCUUUUUGCCUCCUAGGGUUUAACUCUUCAUCUACUCUUUGCAUUUGCAGCUUCAAUUCUACCAUUGAGCUUUAAAAACAGAGGUGAAAGAGCACUUACUAAUAUGCAUAAACAACAAUUAUUAUGAAAAACAACCCACAGAGUAACUAAAUUUAUCUCAGGCAUGUGUGUUCAAUUUUUUUCUUUCAAACCUUUUGUUGGAAAUGGCUUGGCGUGCUGGGGGCAUGUAAAUGCAUGUACUGAAUGUCCAACACGGCAUGCCCAAUUAAACGCAUUAGAGAGCUUCAUAGACUAGAGAUAUCAAUUGAGGCAGCCCUCCUUAUAUGGGAAAAUCAAGAUUGCAUUCCCUUUUGUAUGAUUCUUACUAUGGGCACUAACCUUAAAUAUGUCCCUUUCUAAUUAAAGCACCAGCCAAAGCAAUGACAAGUG